ACGAACGCUGGCGGCGUGCUUAACACAUGCAAGUCGAACGGAAAGGCCCUGCUUGCAGGGUACUCGAGUGGCGAACGGGUGAGUAACACGUGGGUGAUCUGCCCUGCACUUCGGGAUAAGCCUGGGAAACUGGGUCUAAUACCGGAUAGGAGCCAUUUUUAGUGUGAUGGUUGGAAAGUUUUUUCGGUGUAGGAUGAGCUCGCGGCCUAUCAGCUUGUUGGUGGGGUAAUGGCCUACCAAGGCGGCGACGGGUAGCCGGCCUGAGAGGGUGGACGGCCACAUUGGGACUGAGAUACGGCCCAGACUCCUACGGGAGGCAGCAGGGGGGAAUAUUGCACAAUGGGCGCAAGCCUGAUGCAGCGACGCCGCGUGGGGGAGGACGGCCUUCGGGUUGUAAACUCCUUUCGCUAGGGACGAAGCUUUUUGUGACGGUACCUAGAUAAGAAGCACCGGCUAACUACGUG
This 464-nucleotide ribosomal RNA is filed under the name uncultured bacterium. Its description in RNAcentral is "partial 16S ribosomal RNA". It matches the Rfam family "Bacterial small subunit ribosomal RNA", at positions 29 to 507 of the family's 1533-position model. The record is from RNAcentral.